Molecule: ribosomal RNA, 600 nt
Filed under: soil fungal sp. DM244
Lineage: Eukaryota; Fungi
Description: eukaryotic LSU rRNA
Rfam family: Eukaryotic large subunit ribosomal RNA
Source: RNAcentral
UGUAAUUUAAAGAAGCGUUUUCGGUGGCAGCCUGGGUAUAAAUCCUUUGGAAUAGGGUAUCAUAGAGGGUGAGAAUCCCGUCUUUGACCUAGUGCAUGCUACUAUGUGAUACGUUUUCAAAGAGUCGAGUUGUUUGGGAAUGCAGCUCAAAAUGGGUGGGAAAUUUCAUCUAAAGCUAAAUAUUGGCGAGAGACCGAUAGCGAACAAGUACCGUGAGGGAAAGAUGAAAAGAACUUUGAAAAGAGAGUUAAACAGUGCGUGAAAUUGUUGAAAGGGAAACGUUUGACACCAGUCAUGUGGGUGGAAAAUCANUCUUUUGCAUUGGGGAGUUGUAAAGGUUCGGACCGCAAGGCCGGNUUUUGCUUCAUCUUUGGUGUAAGGGAUGCACUUUUUCAUCUACAGGUCAACAUCAGUUUCUUUUGCUGGACAAAACUCCNAGAGAAGGUAGCAGCUUAGGCUGUGUUAUAGCUCUGGAGCGAUACAGUGAAGGNGACUGAGGNUUUCGCAGCGUGUGCUCUCGGGCAAGGCUGGGUGGGUGCUANGGGAUCGUUCGGGGUACAAUGCCUGGCAUUUUGCUUCGUGUCUUUUCUAUACUCGCUC